RNAcentral lists this long non-coding RNA (363 nucleotides) under Mytilus galloprovincialis (Mediterranean mussel). Lineage: Eukaryota; Metazoa; Mollusca; Bivalvia; Mytilida; Mytilidae. The record is from RNAcentral.
GCUUCCCAGGGUGCAGCUUUAUACGACCGCAGAGGUCGAACCCUGAACAGUUGGGACAAGUAUGGACACAACAUUUAAGCUUGAUACAGCUCUGAAUUUGGAUUGUGAUUAAAUAGUUGACACAACAUAGGUUUCUGACACAGAAUGAAUGUGGUCUAAGAACUUAAACUUAAAAACUUAAAAAUUUUAAAUUGGACAUUUACCUAUUAUGGUCCAAUAUCCAAAAUCUAAAUACAUGGUUAGAUUCAGCAUAUCAUAGAACCCAAGAAUUCAAUUUUUGAUGAAAUCAAAUAAUGUUCAAUUUUAGACCCUUUAGACCUCAAUGUGGACCUAUUUGAUAACCAGGCCCAAAUAUUACAAAUC